UGGGGAAUAUUGGACAAUGGGCGAAAGCCUGAUCCAGCCAUGCCGCGUGUGUGAAGAAGGUCUUCGGAUUGUAAAGCACUUUAAGUUGGGAGGAAGGGCAGUUACCUAAUACGUGAUUGUUUUGACGUUACCGACAGAAUAAGCACCGGCUAACUCUGUGCCAGCAGCCGCGGUAAUACAGAGGGUGCAAGCGUUAAUCGGAAUUACUGGGCGUAAAGCGCGCGUAGGUGGUUAGUUAAGUUGGAUGUGAAAUCCCCGGGNUCAACCUGGGAACUGCAUUCAAAACUGACUGACUAGAGUAUGGUAGAGGGUGUGGAAUUUCCUGUGUAGCGGUGAAAUGCGUAGAUAUAGGAAG
Molecule: ribosomal RNA, 355 nt
Filed under: uncultured bacterium
Lineage: Bacteria
Description: bacterial SSU rRNA
Rfam family: Bacterial small subunit ribosomal RNA
Source: RNAcentral